UUAAAUCUCACUUCAGAAAUCUCUAAGAGAGUAAAAGAGGGAAAACAUAUAUAAUAAUACUAGUUAAUCAAUGUAGCCUGAACUAUAGUAUUUCACCCCCAUAAUAUGACACCUCAUUGCGAUCCUUGUUCUUGCAAAUAUUAUAUCCGGCUUCAUUCAGUGUUUUGUUUCUCAGACAUAGAAUAUACACAGUUUCCAAGCAGUUUGCUCCUAACUUGGAGUUGAGUAGACGGACAACUUUGUCUCCUUUAAAGUUUAAUCCUGGUCCUUGGAAUUUAAAAGAACUGCAAUCAAGAUGGCCAUUGCUGUAUGGUAUUUUCUACUUUGGAAUUUUUAUUUAAAAUGUGCAUUUUCAUCAGGUAUCAAUUACUAUCUGGAAGAGUCUCAGAGAUCAUCAAAUCCCUGACUGCCACGAUUUUUUUCUAUGCUACAGCGACUCUGUUAAGUGGAUUCAGCCCUGAGACUUUGCAAUCAAAACCAUGGCAUUUGCUCACUGGCUUCUGCUAAGCAGUACAAAUGUUGUACUGCUUGUGUAUGGACCAGUUCGAGCCCACACAGCACACAGGGAUCAACCAGAUCACCUUAGGUUAUCAUGUUCCUUCCUGAGCUGGGCGUCAUAUGUGCACCUCUUAGGGUUGUGGAAAGACACCUACAAGUAAUGAAGUGAGUGAAGUAAAUGUGCAUAAUUCCAUGUUGCUCUUGUUUUAAAUUAACUAUGUUACUGAGUGCUGACAAGUUUAGGAAUCUCUACAAUAGAAGUUAUUCUGAGAGAUAAAGUUGAGAUUAACAAAUAUACCUAAUGCUGGUGGUAGGUGGAGUUUUACAACUACUAUCUUAGCAUCCAUUAUGACUGUAAAACAGUUUAAAAGACAUUGUGUUUUUAACUAGUUCCCAACAUGACCCUCUGUGGUGUUUUUGUUUCUAAGAUUAGAGAAUGAGCUUUGUUGCUUUUACUGUCCAGUCAGCCAGUACAGGCCCCACAGAGGCCGGCUUCCUUAGCGUCUGGAUGUGUACACAUGAAAGCUCAGCUGACAGCAUCAGAUUUUGGGAAAAUAUCACUGAUCCUAAAAUAAAAUACAGGUGAUUUCUGCCCCUAUCUGGUCUCUUGUAUCUGUGGUCUAUCAUUUCCCAGGUGCCAGUUACUGAAAAAAGAAAUAUAAAUAAUAUUUAAAUGAUGUCU
Molecule: long non-coding RNA, 1180 nt
Filed under: Chinchilla lanigera (long-tailed chinchilla)
Lineage: Eukaryota; Metazoa; Chordata; Mammalia; Rodentia; Chinchillidae
Description: lncRNA (ENSCLAG00000026006.1)
Source: RNAcentral